GGAAAUGUGGCUUAGUGGUAGAGUCCUUGUCUAGAAUGCAUGAAGCCAGGAGUUUGAUUCCUCAGUACCA
Dipodomys ordii (Ord's kangaroo rat) is the source of this 70-nucleotide non-coding RNA. Lineage: Eukaryota; Metazoa; Chordata; Mammalia; Rodentia; Heteromyidae. The record is from Rfam.